RNAcentral lists this long non-coding RNA (2469 nucleotides) under Vigna radiata. RNAcentral's name for it is "long non-coding RNA (VRAD_LNC014186)". The record is from RNAcentral. Lineage: Eukaryota; Viridiplantae; Streptophyta; Magnoliopsida; Fabales; Fabaceae.
UUCCAUUUCUUCAAGUUUCUUUGCAAAAAAGAAAAUAAAAACUAAGCUAUCAAUUCCAGCUCUGUCCAGCCACAAUAACAACACCAAACUCUGGUCCCAUCCUUGUUUCAAACAUUAAAACCGAAAAAUGAAAGGAAAGAGUUCAACCUAUAACACCCACAAAUCAUCUUAAGUUCUCUUCAACCCAAAACUCACAUAGAACUCCAUUUUUAUCAUCCAACCAAGUAAAAUGCAAGGAAACUGUGAGCAACUGCAGUAAAAAUAUAAAGUUACUCAAACCCAACAACCACCAUGGAAAUGCAAAGACAAGCUCCAAAGCUCAAGCUUCAAACAUCAAGAACAAGCAAGUGGAAGUAGAAAUGAAUGGUUUUUCACCACCAAUAAGCUAAGCCAACCAAGAGUAAGUUAAGAGAAGAAGAAAAUCUGCAUCUUAUUCAUUGAAAUGGCCAAAAUCCGAAGCACCAAGCAAGCUCCCCUUAGAGCAUGUUCAUCCAUGAAAACCCUAGGAGAGAAAAGUUCAAAACCAUAAGUAUCAAGUCUCUACCUUUGUGGCUCAGUAUUCUCCCCUCAUAAGACCGAGAAUCCUCCCCAAGGUGGGGUCCACAACUAAUUUAAAACCCUAACUGAUGGGUUGUCGCGGCCCAUACAAAUUUGAUUGCAUAUGACAAAUGCAGUAUAGACUAGGAAGUGACUCCUAGGUCGUCUCUCAAGGACCAAAUGUGGUUCAAGAAUUAGGUCCGACACGUAGUGGGGGGUUUUGAUGAAAGUGUUUUUGUGAAUGCAAAUGAUUAAAUUAAAAUUAAACACAACUUAACAUAAUUGAAAACUUUAAAGUGUAUGAAAAUAUUAAACUAAAUACUGCAACAAAUAAAUAUUUAAGCACAACUAAAGCUAUUAAAAUUGCAACACUUAAUUAGAAAGAUAAAAGAAAGUAAUUCAUGUAAAAUAUUCUAAUGCAAAAAGAAUUAUAAAAAAAAAAAACUAUUAUAAAAUUACCGUGACAUGUUAAGUGAAUUUCCAAGGAUUUCAUUUUAAGAAAAAUAAAGUUGGGAAAUGUUUCCCUCUUACCAAUCUGCUGCACCAUUUGUUUUAAAUUAAAUUCAACCUUCUGUAGUCCAAUACCGUGAGCAUCACAUUCUCCCAAAAUGAAAUGAAAAUUUUUUCUAUCCUAAAUGAAAUCAGCGGAUGACACCUAAUAUGUUUCUUUUCAUUCAUGAAAGCAAAAGAAGUGGUAAUUUCCUUCAGCCGCCGUGACCCACAAAGCAAUGAAAAUAAAUGCAAGAAAAGUAAAAUGUCGUGAGCUUCAUUUCUUCAAUCCCCAAAAUACUGUAGCUGCUAGAAUAAUAAAAACAGUGAGUUGAAUUCAAGCACAAGAAUCAACCUUUCAUCCAAGUUGUCACCGUGACAUUCCAAAAUAAAACAAGAAUAAAGAUGUGAUAAAAUGAUCCCCUCAGGUCGUGUAGCAUUCCCCAUUUCUCAAAUUAAAAAGCAAUUAAAUUAUGAAAUGAAAUCAAUGUCAAUCCAUCAAAGGUUCAUCCAAAAUAAACGUUAAAACCAAAAGAAAGAAAAGAAAGUAGCUGUUGGAACCUUCACUACCAAGCACGGUCCGUUACCUUCCAGCCCAUCAUAGCAUAUCUUUCAAAACAAAAUGCAAAGUCCAUGCGGUGGCAGCAGCUGCUAGCUUGAAUAAAAAUAAAUCUCCAAAACAAAUUGAUGGAGCGCCUUUCUCCUUUUCUUCCAGAAGCACAAACAAAAGCUCCCUUCAACAAUAAAUCAACUCCUUCUUCUACAACGUGGCAACAACAGCUUCUCCCAACAAAAGUGAAUGAAGUCCGCGUGAAAGAAAAGGAAAUUACCGCAUAAUAAAAAAAACUAAACUAAACUCCCUAAUCAAAAUGCUGGAAGUCACCGUGCACUUUAUUUUCAUUCAUCCAAAGUCUCCAAACAUCAACAUGGUUUCCCUCCAAUAUAUCAAGUGUCGGCCACCUCUAAAAAAACGUUCCAGCCUCCUUCCCAAAAUCCAGCAUCAUGAAUAACAUUGCUAACAUCAAGAAAACCUUCCCAAGCCAAGAAGAAAGUGAAACAAAACUGCCAAAAUUGAAAGUGGCGGUUGUGUUCUCUAGGGUGGAUCCCGAGACUGUGCCCUCCCAAUGCAACAGUUCCUACGUGUGGAGGCUCCUUUUGAUAAGCUUCUGGACUUCCAUGAAGCCUAGACCAUCUGGACUUUUCUAAGUGCACCUCUCCUUUAGACUUAACACGUGCCUUUCCCUGCUGGCUUUGCAUUUGCUCACGGGCCUUCCCGUUACCACACGUUCCAAGCUACUGGAUUAAAUGAAUCACGUGCAGCAGAUGUAUGGAAUGAAGGACUGUGGGCUGCAGCGUGGAGUUGAAGUCUUAGGCCGUGAAUUGCUGUAGAGUGUUGCACCUCCUUUGGGUCGUGGCAGCAGCUGGAAUUCUGCCAAAAAGAAU